Molecule: long non-coding RNA, 1684 nt
Organism: Cynoglossus semilaevis (tongue sole)
Lineage: Eukaryota; Metazoa; Chordata; Actinopteri; Pleuronectiformes; Cynoglossidae
Exons: 4
Source: RefSeq, a predicted model, not a curated record
UCCAACUAGGACACACACACAAACACAAACACACACACAGUUUAAACACAAUUAUUGCACAGAAAGAUAAGCUACAUUUGCUGCUUGAAUUCCAAAUAUACAAAGUUCGGAGUGUAGUACGGGCCACAUGAAGUGAUGCCCACAAACUAUCUACGUGGCCCACACUGAUGAUGCAGCUGUAGUGCAGGGUUGUGGGUUGGAUUGAGGUAGAAGUCAAAUGUGCACAAUAGUGAACCAACAGUGAGUCAACAGCAGAAUGCACCCUGUUGGGGGCGGUGUUGAGACCCUGCGCCUGCAAUUAGUGACUGUGCUGGUACUGCAGCUGCACUGUUCUGCCAGCAGGGUUAUGAGCAGAAGCUUAGCCAUUUUUUUGGACUGUGUACCAUCUACUGUCUCCUCUGUCCCACACAGGACUGUAGCUGCCCACUGAGUUUGGACUCAAAACCUCCACACUGACAGCAGUCUCUGCAGUGAAGCCAACACAGUCCACUUCACCGAGCAGCUUUCACCAAACCUUCUGGGGAGAUCCCUCAGAGGUCCUGGGCCCGCCAAGAGACGUACGGUCCAUGGUCUGCCUCGGGGUCUCCUCCCAGAUCUACAUUCCCACAACACCUCCCCAGAGAGGUCCAGAGGGCAUCCUCACCAGAUGUCUGUUUGACAUCUACACUUUGAGCUGCUUCACAACGUCCAGGGUAAAGACUUGUUUUUUUUUUUUUUAAUUCGGCAGAGGAAAAAUGACUUUUUUUUUUUUGCAACCUUUUCUUGCCUUUAUCUAAAGACAGAGGGGUUGUUGUUGAAUACCAGUGUGUGACUUCAUUAGUACAUGGAUUCCACUGUCUCUGUGGUAGCCUGAAGCUGCAGGACAAAGAAACGGUGAGAACCUGAUGGUCGAUCCAUACAUGAACAAACAAACAGCCUCUAACUGAGAGGGGAAAGAAAAGCAAACACAUAAACACAAACACAUACUGUCAGAGCAGAGCGUCUCCAUGGCAACCCUCAGAACACAGGAGGGAGAAGAUGUCACACCAGCAGAUUCACCAUGGAAACACUGCCAUUAGACCAGGAAGUGUGUGUUCGCAUGUCUCUCCGCUCGUAUGUGUCUCUCUGUGUUGUGGAUAAACUGAAUACGUACGGAGAAAGACCCCCAUGAACACAGAGGAACUGCUGGUUCAUCAGGGCCGCCAGGGGCAGGCAAUCAAACGCCUCCAUGCAGGAAUCGUACACCUGCUCCGAGUACUUAAUCUUACCUGGAGGUGGAUGGAGAGAGAGAGGGAGAGAGAGAGAGAGAGAGGGAGAUUUUUAACAAGGUGGAGUUUGUUAUCUUGCAGGACCUCCACACUGCCUACUUUGCACACUCCUCGGUGUAAGGCAGAGCAGUAAAACACUGCUCCCUCCUGGAGCACAGAGCAGAUUCUCACAGGCAGUAAACAGAUACUGAGACGUUUUACUUUUUUUUUUUUUUUUCAGUAAGUUAAACUUGACCCAAAUAUGAGGCAGCGUCAGUGUAGAGUCGUCGCUGCCAGGCAGCAUCUCUGCUUCAAGAAGAACUGCUUUCAUUUUGGCAGCGCUGUCAACAGAGACAUCCAAAGACGAGCAGCGUCUUUAAGACGAUCUCACGCUGGCGUAACAAUAAAUUUGACACAAAACAAUAUCACAGGAUUAAAAUAACUGAAGGGAGAGAGCA